AUUGAACGCUGGCGGCAUGCCUUACACAUGCAAGUCGAACGGCAGCACGGGUGCUUGCACCUGGUGGCGAGUGGCGAACGGGUGAGUAAUACAUCGGAACAUGUCCUGUAGUGGGGGAUAGCCCGGCGAAAGCCGGAUUAAUACCGCAUACGAUCUACGGAUGAAAGCGGGGGUCCUUCGGGCCUCGCGCUAUAGGGUUGGCCGAUGGCUGAUUAGCUAGUUGGUGGGGUAAAGGCCUACCAAGGCGACGAUCAGUAGCUGGUCUGAGAGGACGACCAGCCACACUGGGACUGAGACAAGGCCCAGACUCCGACGGGAGGCAGCAGUGGGGAAUUUUGGACAAUGGGCGAAAGCCUGAUCCAGCAAUGCCGCGUGUGUGAAGAAGGCCUUCGGGUUGUAAAGCACUUUUGUCCGGAAAGAAAUCCUUGGCCCUAAUACGGUCGGGGGAUGACGGUACCGGAAGAAUAAGCACCGGCUAACUACGUG
This 486-nucleotide ribosomal RNA is filed under the name uncultured bacterium. RNAcentral describes it as "partial 16S ribosomal RNA". It matches the Rfam family "Bacterial small subunit ribosomal RNA", at positions 30 to 507 of the family's 1533-position model. The record is from RNAcentral.